CAAAAAUUGAAGGCGUGUCCCCGGUUUGGGCACGCCUCUCGUAGCCUUCAGUGAUAUAAUAACCAUUUUUAUUAGGUGAUCCCCUUUUCUCUGUUUGAUACUAACGGUUUUGUUAAUGAUGGAACUUUC
Vigna angularis (adzuki bean) is the source of this 129-nucleotide small nucleolar RNA. It matches the Rfam family "Small nucleolar RNA snoR74". NCBI's taxonomy places the organism in Eukaryota, Viridiplantae, Streptophyta, Magnoliopsida, Fabales, Fabaceae. The record is from Rfam.